Molecule: long non-coding RNA, 10069 nt
Organism: Bombina bombina (fire-bellied toad)
Lineage: Eukaryota; Metazoa; Chordata; Amphibia; Anura; Bombinatoridae
Exons: 2
Source: RefSeq, a predicted model, not a curated record
UUCUACAUGAGGUAUCUUAUCUUGAAUAAAUCUUUUAUAUUUACGAUGCUGCUGCAUUCUGGAUCCCCUUUAUUUGUUUCAAUAGUAAAUCCUAGCGUUUGUAAAACGCUAGGAGUUUACUUUCACUUUAAAGGGAACAUUAGCGUCAGGCGUAAAUCCCACAUAAAUUUAGCAUAGUAAAAAAUAAAUAAAUAAUGCAGCACACAUAGGUUUUGGUUUCAUUGGGAAUGCAUCAUGCAUGUAAAGUAUUCUGUGCUACAUGCUUCCUAGUAAUUACUUAGAGCCGUGCACAAUCUCAUUUACCUGUGACUUCUUAUUGGUCACUGCAGAGGCAACCAGGUAAACCAGUAUGGUAGUUUCCAAUGCUGAUACAGUAUUUUUUUAUGCAAAUCAUAUGGCUAAAAUAUACUAUGCAUUUAUAAAAAUGUACUUUAAAGUCUCUUUAAAUGUCUGUUUUUUUCUUUUGCGGGAAUGACUAUGGGCUGGAAAAUAUUCUUGCUUAUGUGUGUCUAUUACACACACAAAUUUCCCAUCUCUUACACACGCAAGGUGUUUUUGUUUGCAGCUAUGUUUCCAAGCAGUAUUAUACAAAGCUUGUUUUAUUUGCGCUGAGAUUCUUGCCCUACAUAUAUUACAUGUCAGAUUAUAAUUCAAAUUGUGUCCCAGGGCUGAGGGCAGCAGUUGUGCAGCGUGUAGAGAGCUGUAUGUUAAGCAGGGCCUAACGGCUGAUGGCUCAGAACACACAAACAACAUAUUGCCUUCACUGGAACCUGAUCUGUCUUUGUUCUACAUAUUAUUGCACUUGCUUUGCUCACUUAUAUUCAUGUUGAUAUUGCGGAAUGUAUUUUUUCUUUCUAAUGGUAGUGAGAGUCCACAAAUUCCUAUUCUUACUUAUGGGAAAUACUUCACCUGGCCACCUGGAGGAAGCAAAUACACCCCAAACAGAGCUUUCAAAUUUCCCUAUUUCCCUCCUACUUCCCCUACCCUCCCAGUAGUUCUUUGCCUCAAUCAUGGAGGUAGGCAGAGAUAGAGGUGCUCUGCAGGAUUUAAGUUCUUCAUACCCUCAAUGGAUUGUUUCCUUCAAGAGAGGGCUGGGGAGUUGUUGGAUACCAUGUAAAUUUUGGUGUGUUUUAGUUCCUGGGUGUCGCAAGGAUGUUCCUAUGCCUCUCCUAGUGAACUCAUGCUAUACCCCCUUUUCAGGCAAACUGUGUUAGUUACACUGAUUUUCUUUUCUCUUUGAACAGGACUAUUCCUGACAGAAAAAGGGCAAGUCCUGUUUUCACUUUAUAAGAAUGAUUUCUUCCCUCUUAAUGGCUAGUAGCCUAAUAGAGAUGCAGACUUGAAGGUUAAAGGGACAUUGUACACUAGAUUUGUCUUUGCAUAAAUGUUUUGUAGAUAAUCCAUUUAUACAGUGUGGAGUGUUUUAUGGAUAGUUUUGCUUAUUUUUAAAUAACAUUGCACUGAUUUUCAGACUCCUAACCAAGCCCCAAGGUUUUAGAUGUAUACUGUUGUCUACUUACUCCAGCUUGCUCCUGUUUUUGUAAUGGGUCUUUUCAUAUGAAGGAGAGGGGAGAGUAUCUGCUCUUUUUGCUCUCCAGCCCAUUUCAUUGGGUGUCCAGGCCUUUUCAACAGUGCUAAACUGGAGCUUCUAAGUAAGUUUUUUUUAAAAGGUUUUAUACUGGAUUUUUAGAGCAUUAUCUGUGCAUAUUAUUAUUUUAUAGUAGAGUCUAUUAAAUGCAGUUAUAUGUAAAUUGGUGUAUAUUGUCCCUUUAAAGUCGCUAUGUGCACAUACUCCCCUGUAACUGCAGGGGUUAUUUAAAUGUCUAUAAAAUGCUGAGAUGGUGUUGGGACCCUUCUCCUCUUUAUUGGGAAUCUGGGGACGAUAGUAUAUGUGUAGUCUCCAUAUUUUAUGUUUAGUUCAACUUACAACAGGCGGCGGCACUGGCUCUUCUGACUUUACUUGUCUUUCAGAUUCGGUAGAUGCCGUUGUUAGAUGGACCUGAUCCAGUAGUUUAUUGGGACCGGAGGGUAGGGCUGUUGUGUAACCUGUCCUGCAGCGGUAGUAGUCAAUAUUUCUUUCAUGUAAUUGGUCUUUUAAAACUUCUCAUUUAGCUGAUGAAAUUUCAAAUGACCAGCAACAUAAUAAUUUAUCCUCUUCUGAUGAGGAUCUAUCUGAUUCAGAAGAUCCUUCCUCAGACAUUGACACUGACAAAUCUACUUAUUUAUUUAAAAUAGAGUAUAUGCGUUCUUUAUUAAAAGAAGUGUUAAUUACUUUGGAUAUUGAGGUAACCAGUCCUAUUGAUGUUAAGUCUAAUAAACAUUUAAAUGCUGUUUUUAAACCUCCUGUGGUUUCCCCAGGGGUUUUUCCUAUUCCUGAGGCUAUCUGGUAUGAUUUGUAUGGAAUGGAAUAAGCCAGGUACUUCUUUUAUUCCUUCUUCAAGGUUUAAAAAAUUGUAUCCUUUACCAGCAAAAUCUAUAGAGUUUUGGGAAAAAAUCCCCAAAGUUGAUGGGGCUAUUUCUACUCUUGCUAAACGUACCACUAUUCCUAUGGAAGAUAGUACUUCCUUUAAGGAUCCUUUAGAUAGGAAGCUUGAAUCCUAUCUAAGGAAGGCCUAUUUAUAUUCAGGUCAUCUUCUCAGACCUGCUAUUUCUUAGGCUAAUGUUGCGGCUGCCUCAACUUUUUGGUUGGAGAAUUUAGCGCAACGAGAAUUGGAUCCUGACAUAUCUAGCAUUACUCGCUUACUGAAACAUGCUAAUAAUUUUAUUUGUGAUGCCAUUUUUUAUAUUAUCAAAAUUGAUGUUAGAUCCAUGUCUUUAGCUGUAUUAGCUAGAAGAGCUUUGUGGCUUAAAUUUUGGAAUGCUGAUAUGACAUCUAAAUCUAGAUUACUAUCUCUUUCUUUACAAGGUAAUAAUUUAUUUGGUUCUCAGUUGGAUUCUAUUAUUUCAACUAUCACUGGAGGAAAAGGAGUUUUUUUGCCUCAGGAUAAAAAACCUAAGGGGAAAUCUAAGGCUUCUAACCAUUUUCGUUCCUUUCAUCAGAAUAAGGAACAAAAACUCAAUCUUCCUCCCAAGGAAUCUGCUUCCAGUUGGAAGCCUUCCUCAAAUUGGAAUAAAUCCAAGCCAUUUAGGAAACCAAAGCCAGCCCCUAAAUCCGCAUGAAGGUGCGGCCCCUCAUUCCAGCUCAGCUGGUAGGGGGCAGAUUAAGGGUUUUCAAGGAUUGUUGGAUAAAAUCUGUAAAAAAAUCAUUGGAUUCAGAGCAUUGUCUCUCAAGGGUAUCAAAUAGGAUUCAAAGUAAUACCUCCUGUGAGAAGAUUUUUUCUCUCACGCAUCCCUGUAAAUCCAGUAAAAGCUCAGGCUUUUCUGAAGUGUGUUUCAGACCUGGAGUCUUCAGAGGUAAUCAUGCCAGUUCCUCCUCAGGAACAAAGUUUGGGGUUUUAUUCAAACCUAUUCAUUGUACCAAAGAAAGAAAAUUUGUUCACACCAGUUCUGGAUCUGAACAUUUUUAAUCGUUAUGUAAGAGUACCAACUUUCAAUAUGGUAUAAGGACUAUUCUGCCUUUUGUUCUGCAAGGUCAUUAUGUCCACAAUAGACUUGCAGGAUGCAUACCUUCAUUUUCCGAUUUAUCCAGAACACUAUCAGUUUCUGAGAUUCUCUUUUCUAGACAAGCAUUACCAAUUUGUUGCUCUUCCAUUUGGCCUAGCAACAGCUCCAAGAAUCUUUUCAAAGGUUCUGGGUGCCCUACUAUCUGUAAUCAGAGAACAGGGUAUUGCGGUGUUUCCUUAUUUGGACGAUAUCUUUGGUACUAGCUCAGUCUUUACAUACUGCAGAAUCUCACACGAAUCAACUAGUCUUGUUUCUUCGGAAACAUGGUUGGAGGAUCAGUUUACCAAAAAGUUUCUUGAUUCUUCAGACAAGGGUCACCUUUUUAGGUUUCCAGUUAGAUUCAGUGUCCAUGACUCUGUCUCUAACAGACAAGAGACGUUUAAAAUUGGUGUCAGCAUGCCGGCACCUUCAGUCUCAGUCAUUCCCUUCAGUGACUAUGUGCAUGGAAGUUUUAGGUCUCAUGACUGCAGCAUCGGACGCGAUCCCUUUUGCUCGUUUUCACAUGAGACCUCUACAGCUUUGCAUGCUGAAUCAAUGGUGCAGGGAUUAUACAAAGAUAUCACAAUUAAUAUCCUUGAAUCCCAAUGUACGACACUCUCUGACAUGGUGGAUAGAUCACCAUCGUUUGGUUCAAGGGACCUCUUUUGUUCGGCCAACCUGGACUGUGAUCUCAAUAGAGUCUUUCAGGUUGGGGAGCUGUUUGGGGAUCUCUGACAGCACAAGGGGUUUGGAAAUCUCAAGAGGCGAGAUUACCAAUAAAUUAUUUUAGAACUCCGUGCAAUUCUCAGGGCUCUUCAGUUUUGGCCUCUGCUAAAGAGAGAACCGUUCAUUUGUUUUCAGAUAGACAAUAUCACAACUGUGGCUUAUGUCAAUCAUCAGGGUGGGACUCGCAGCCCCCAAGCUAUGAAAGAAGUAUCUCUGAUACUUGCUUGGGCGGAAUCCAGCUCCAGUCUAAUUUCUGCGGUGCAUAUCCCAGGUGUAGACAAUUGGGAGGCGGAUUAUCUCAGCCGCCAGACUUUACAUCCAGGGGAGUGGUCUCUCCAUCCAGAUGUGUUUUCUCAGAUUGUUCAGAUGUUUGGUCUUCCAGAGAUAGAUCUCAUGGCCUCUCAUCUAAACAAGAAACUUCCCAGAUACCUGUCCAGGUCCAGGUAUGUUCAGGUGGAAGCAGUGGAUGCACUGACACUUCCUUGGUGUUCUCAUCCUGCUUACAUCUUCCCGCCUCUAGUUCUCCUUCCAAGAGUGAUCUCCAAAAUCAUCAUGGAACAGUCUUUUGUGUUGCUGGUGGCUCCAGCAUGGCCACACAGGUUUUUGGUAUGCGGAUCUGGUGCGGAAGUCCAGUUGCCCGCCUUGGUCACUUCCGUUUCGGCCGGACCUACUAUCUCAAGGUCCGUUUUUCCAUCAGGAUCUCAAAUCAUUAAAUGUGAAGGUGUGGAACGCCUUCUAUGACUUGAACGCUUAGUUCUAAGUCAUAGAGGUUUCUCUGACUCAGUGAUUAAUACUAUGUUACAAGCUCGUAAAUCUGUCUCUAGAAAGAUUUAUUAUAGAGUUUGGAAGACUUACAUUUCAUGGUGUUCUUCUCAUAAAUUCUCCUGGCAUUCUUUUAGAAUUCCUAGAAUUUUACAGUUCCUUCAGGAUGGUUUGGAUAAGGGUUUGUCUGCAAGUUCCUUGAAAGGACAAAUCUCCGCUCUUUCUGUUUUAUUUCACAGAAAGAUUGCUAUACUUCCUGAUAUUCACUGUUUUGUACAGGCUUUAGUUCGUAUUAAGCCUGUCAUUAAAUCAAUUUCUCCUCCUUGGAGUCUUAAUUUGGUUCUGAAGGCGUUACAGGCUCCUCCAUUUGAGCCUAUGCAUUCUUUGGACAUUAAACUACUUUCUUGGAAAGUGUUGUUUCUUUUGGCUAUCUCUUCUGCUAGAAGAGUUUCUGAGCUAUCUGCUCUUUCUUGUGAGUCUCCUUUUCUGAUUUUUCAUCAGGAUAAGGCAGUUUUGCAGACUUCUUUUCAAUUUUUACCUAAGGUUGUGAAUUCCAACAACAUUAGUAGAGAAAUUGUUGUCCCUUCCUUAUGUCCUAAUCCUAAGAAUUCUUUGGAGAGAUCCUUUGAAAUAUUAUGUGGAAGCUACUAAAGAUUUCAGGAAGACUUCUAGUCUAUUUGUUUUAUUUUCUGGUCCUAGGAAAGGUAAGAAGGCUUCUGCUAGUUCAUUGGCUUCUUGGUUGAAACUUUUGAUUCAUCAAGCUUAUUUGGAGUCGGGUCAGGCCCCGCCUCAGAGAAUUACAGCUCAUUCUACUAGAUCAGUUUCCACUUCGUGAGAUUUUAAGAAUGAAGCUUCAGUUGAUCAGAUUUGCAAAGCAGCGACUUGGUCCACUUUGCAUACAUUUACUAAAUUCUACAGUUUUUAUGUAUUUGCUUCUUCGGAAGCAGUUUUUGGUAGAAAAGUUCUUCAGGCAGCUGUUUCAGUUUGAUUCUUCUGCUUUUGAUUUGUUUUUUUCUUUCAAAGAUGAAAUAAACUUAUUUUUGUUUUGGGUUGUGGAUUAAUUUUUUCAGUGGAAUAUGGCUGUUUUUAUUUUUAUUCCCUCCCUCUCUAGUGACUCUUGAGUGGAAGACUCCACAUCUUGGGUAUUGAUAUCCCAUAUGUCACUAGCUCAUGGACUCUUGCCAAUUACAUUAAAGAAAACAUAAUUUAUGUAAGAACUUACCUGAUAAAUUCAUUUCUUUCAUAUUGGCAAGAGUCCAUGAGGCCAACCCUUUUUAUGGUGGUUAUGAUUUUUUGUAUAAAGCACAAUUAUUUCCAAAUUUCCUUUGUUGAUGCUUUCUACUCCUUUCUUUAUCACCCCACUGCUUGGCUAUUCGUUUAACUGAAUUGUGGGUGUGGUGAGGGGUGUAUUUAUAGGCAUUUUGAGGUUUGGGAAACUUUGCCCCUCCUGGUAGGAUUGUAUAUCCCAUAUGUCACUAGCUCAUGGACUCUUGCCAAUAUGAAAGAAAUUAAUUUAUUAGGUAAGUUCUUACAUAAAUUAUGUUUUUUUCCUGCCACAAGCAUAGUUUGGCGCGUGUCCCGCCCUAACUGCACUGCGUGAUUGCGCAUUAAAAGUGUGCAACGCUUCAACCUCUCAGAUAGCAGCGGCGGCCUGCGAGCUGAUAGGUUUUUCCAGAGGUGGUAAGACACCUCAUAUCGAACAUUAGCACAGUCUACUUGUUAUAUCAGGGUGAUUGAUAUAAAGUAACAGGUCCCCUGUGUUAACAAUGUGCAAUUGCAACCUCCCAACAUGCUGUAGUUUUGUGAUUCUGCUCCCACAUCCCAACCGGAAGUUAGUCCUUUUCCUCACGACUUUGCGGCCCUUGAGUCUGUUUCAAGGGGCUUGGGUCCAUUCCAUUUAGGAUCCUUCUGGACAGUGUCUCCGGGGUAUAGAAUAGGUUUCCAAACUCAUCCCCCAAAGGGCAGGUUUCUUCUGUUGCAGAUUUCAAGAAAGCCGUAAAAGAGAAUGUGUAGAAGAUCUGGUAUCUAUGGGCGUUAUUGUGCCCGUCCCCCUGGAAGUGUUGCGUUCUUUAAUCUACUAUUCGACCUUCUAUAACUCAAUGCAUGGAGGUAGUAGGCCUUAUGGUAGACGCUAUACAUUUUGCUUGCUUUCAUUUGAAACCUCUACAGUUAUGCAUGCUCAGACAAUGGAUGGGAAUCAUUCAGAUCUGUCUCAAGUAAUCUAUCUAGAUCCGGGUACCAGGAGUUCUCUCUCCUGGUGGAUGUCUCAGGAACCCAUCCUUUGGGGUAUGUGUUUCCUACGCCCAUCCUGGUACAUUAUUACCACAGACACGAGUCUGACAGGAUGGCGCGCGGUAUGGGGAACUCAAAGAGCCCAGGGAGUAUCUUUAACGGGGAGACGUCUCUCCCUAUAAACGUCUUGGAACUGAGGGCCAUCUUUAAUGCUCUGAUGGCACAGCCCCAGUUAUGCUCUGUCCAUUCUAUUCCAUUUCAAUCAGACAACAUUACUAUGGUGGCUUAUGUCAAUCAUCAAGGUGGAACUCACAGUCCUCCUUCAAUGGGCAGAACAAUACCAGUGCCAGAUUUUAACUAUUCACAUUCCAGACAUGGAGAACUAGGAGGCAGAUUUUUUGGAAAAAUGAAUCGUUAAUGGGGGUCUCCAGAGAUGGAGCUCAUGGUGUCUCAUCUCAAUUUCAAACUUCCGAGAUAUGGAUCUAGGUCGAGGGACCCUCAGGCAGAGUUAGUGGAUGCAUUAGCAGCUUUUUGGAGUUACUAUCUAGUUUACCUAUUCCCUCCAGUUUUUCUUCUUUGGGUAAUAACAGGAGGGAGUAUCAGUGAUUCAUUUAGCUCCUGUGUGGCCUCGUAAGAAUGUCUUUUGCUCCUUCGUGGAGUCUUCCACAGAGGCCAGACCUUCUAGCUCAGGGUCUGUUGUUCCAUCAAAAUCUCAAUUCUGUGAAGCUGACUGCUUGGAGAUUGAACAACUAAUUUUGGCUCAGAGCGGAUUCUCUGAAGCUGUGACUGAUACUCUAUAUUCGGCAUAUAAGCCUGUAACCAGACAUAUAUACCAUAAGUUAUGGAAGGAUUAUCUUUUUGUUGCACGGAUCAUGGAUUUUCUUUCCACAGAGUGAGGAUUCUGCGUAUUCCUCAGUUCUUACAAGAUGGACUGGAGUAGUGUCUUUCAGCUAGUUCUCUUAUGUGCCAGAUAUCGGCUCUCUUUAAGUUUUGUUGUAUAAGAAGCUGGCUCAUUUGCUAGAUGUUCAAUCGUUAAAUAAAUAAAUAUAUGUAUAUAUGUAUAUAUAUAUAUAUAUAUAUAUAUAGAUAGAUAGAUAGAUAGAUAUAUUAGACCAGUUUUCAAACCUAUUGCUCACCCGUGGAGCCUUAAUCUUGUUCUUUUAGAGUUUUUUUUACCAGUCUCUCUUGGAAAGUGUUUCGGAAUUUUCUGCUCUCCAAUGUAAUCCUCCGUAUCUGGUCUUUCAAACCGAUAAGGCUGUUCUUUGGACAAAGACAGCAUUUUUACCUAAGGUGGUUUCAACAAAUAAUAACAACCAGGAUAUUGUUGUUCCUUCUCUUUGUCCCAAUCCUACCUCUUCCAAAGUAUUACAUAAUAGCAUAAUUUGGAUGUCGUCAGAGCAUUAAAGUUUUAUCUUCAUGCUACCAAGGAAUUCCAUUAAUCAUACCCAUUUCUUCUGUUUUCUGGCAACAGCAAGAGCCAAAAGGCCACUGCUGUUUCUUUAUCUUUCUGGCUUCAAAGUCUGAUUCUUAUGACUUACUUAGAGGCGGGUUAGCAGCCCCCAGCCCGUGUUAUGGCUCACUCUACCUGUGCGGUAGCUACGUCUUGGGCCUUCAAGAAUGAGGCUUCAGUUGAACAGAUCUGCAAGGCUGCUACCGGGUCUUCCCUACAUACUUUCAUGAAAUUCUAUUGGUAUGAUGUGGAGGCUUCCUUUGGGAGAAAGGUUCUUCACGUUUUGGCGCCUUACAACUAGGGACUUUACCUUACCUUUAUUCCCACCCUAAUUUUUGUGUGGACUCCACAGCUUGGGUAUUAAUUUCCCAUAAGUAAGAAUAAAUUAUAUUUUUGUCUGAGUUUGUUAAACGCACAGUGUUCUUUUGAUGUAUUCAAAAGCUACUCAACAGUAUUCAGAUAUCUGCAUACAGAGCAGUCUGGUGUGCACUAUAAAUCUAUACAGCGACCGGCAACCAUCCUGCAGGCCAGAGUUAAAGAGAAAGUCAACCAUAGCGUUUUGGAAACACUAGGGUUGACGGUUGAAACAAAUAAAGGGCACUUUCAUUCAUGAAGUAUAAGAUACUUCAUGCAGAAAGUGCCUUUAUUCGUUUCAACAGAUCGCCAUUCUUAGCUGCAACGGCAGCCCAUGGCCGAAAAAUAUUUUGCUAAGAGGUGAUGUUUUCUCCUCUUAGCCAAUAGCCGUGCAGUAAAUCCGGCUUAGCACCUAUGGGAGCCGGAUUUACCACACGGCUAUUGGCUAAGAGAUGAAAACGUCACCUCUUAGCAAAAAAAUUUUUUAGCCGUGGGCUGCUGUAGCAGCUAAGAACGGUGAUCGAUGGAAACAAAUAAAGGAGCUUUAUUUGUUUCAAUUGUCAGUCCUAGCGUUUGUACAACGCUAGGAUUGACUUUCAUUUUAAAGACUUUUCCUACUCUCAAGCACAUGGUUAAAUAAAUAAAACACUGUCUAGCCCACCCUCACUCACUCACUCAAAAAGCCAAUCUAUAAUUCUGGUGUUUACAAUGUGUUUAGUAUUAACCAUGUUUAUAUUUCCUGAUUGCCCAAGUCAUGUAUUUUAACCCCUUAAGUAUUAUCACUUUCAGCUAACAUGAGCUGAGGAAUGUACUUCCGUAACGUUUACGGCGUGCCAGUCAUUUUAAACAAAGGUUGUUAGGAAUUGUUGAAUGUGACUUUUAUUUUGUAUCCUAUCAGAAGCUUGAGCACUGUUUAUUGUGUUAAUUCUAAUUAAACAAGUUUGUUUAAAUAAAUAAAAAAAA